AACGAACGCUGGCGGCGCGCUUAACACAUGCAAGUCGAGCGAGAACCAGGGCUUCGGCCCUGGGGACAGCGGCGAACGGGUGAGUAACACGUGGGUAAUCUGCCCUCGGCAUCGGGAUAGCCCGGGGAAACCCGGAUUAAUACCGAAUAGCCUCCGGAGCCUUCGGGCGCCGGAGAAAAGGUAGCUUCGGCCUCUGGCCGAGGAUGAGCCCGCGGCGGAUUAGCUAGUUGGCGGGGUAACGGCCCACCAAGGCGACGAUCCGUAGCUGGGCUGAGAGGACGAUCAGCCACACUGGGACUGGGACACGGCCCAGACGCCUACGGGAGGCAGCAGUGGGGAAUCUUGCGCUAAUGCGGGAAACCGUGACGCAGCGACGCCGCGUGGGGGAAGAAGGCCUUCGGGUUGUAAACCUCUUUCAGGAGGGACGAAGCCACUCGGGUGAAUAGCCCAGAGGGUGACGGUACCUCCAGAAGAAGCCCCGGCUAACUACGUGCCAGCCGCCGCCGUAA
Molecule: ribosomal RNA, 509 nt
Filed under: uncultured bacterium
Lineage: Bacteria
Description: partial 16S ribosomal RNA
Rfam family: Bacterial small subunit ribosomal RNA
Source: RNAcentral